GAAAAUUAGAAAUAAUAAUAAUCUACUAAAUGAAACAAACAUAGAUCGUCUUCUCCCUAACCCAAAACCUAAAACUAGCGAUCCUCCCAAAAUGUACUUCCUUUUCAGAGGGGUCAGUUGGGAUCACGAAAACAAACAAAAUUGUGUUUUUCGUUUCAGAAGGGACGUGCGACGGUGCCGUUCAGGGAGGUCUCGGUGGUGCCAUUUAGGGAAGUCGCGGCGGUACCAACUAUGAAGGUGAGUUUUUUCUUUUUUCUAUUUUUGUUCUCUGAUGGAAAAAAGGUUUGGGUUUUUUAUUUUAUUUUAUUUUGUAUCUUCUAAUUAUUUUAUAAUUGCGAGGUUGAAUAAAACAAAACGACAACAAAAAUAAAUAAAGUAAAGAUAAAACAAAUUUAGAUUUUAUUUUUAAAGGUAUAACAAUAAGAACUAUUUUAUUUUUUAUUUUUAAAGGUAUAACAUCAAGAACUAUGAAAUCAUGAAACUAGGAAAAAUGGAAUUUAGAGAUACUUACCACACACAAGUUAGACAUUUGUUUCAUUGUUGUGAUCUUUGCUAUGACAAAUAUUUAUUUAUGUUUUGAAUUAGUGUAUUCUUCUAGCCCUCAUCUCAUAUUUCAGAAUACUCAUUAUUUUUUAGAAAGAAAAACAAAUAUCUUUUACUCAUCUAAACAAUGGAAUCCUCAUCUUUUUGAAAAACAAAACUCUAUUUAUAGAGUUUUUUUUUAAUUGUUAGUUGCUUUCUUUGUAUGUGUCUCUCUUUGAGCUUUCAAUUAGUUCUCUAUUUGAUGCUUCAUUUUUUUUCUCAUAAUUUGAGUUCUUCUGCACAUAUGACCCAUUCACAAUUUUAGCCUAUUUAUUUUUAUCUGAUUAUCUUCAUCUGUUGGACAGAGCUGGUUUGUUGGCCUAAAUAGUUUUUUAAUUUGCAACUUUGGGUCUUAAUUUUGUAUAUGGAUUCAACAACAAUUAUCUUUUAGUUUGUGUUUCAAACUCAUAAUUUUGUCUCUUUGCUCUGUAUCACGUGGACAACGGUUAAGGGCAAAGGGAAUGACUAAGGACAAAAGGAAUUUUUUUUUCAUUAAUUAAUUCAUUACAUAUCAUUUUUUACCAUAUUUUAUAUUAAAUCUUUAGUUAUAAAAUUAUCAUUUUUUCAAUUAGUUUAAACACUCUAAUUAGUUACAACAAGUACAUGAAUAGUUACAAUAGAUACAUAAAAGGAGAAACCAAAGACAAAACAAAGUCAAAGACUCUCUUUUAUUUCUAUUUUAUAUAUUUGUUUUUUGUAUUAUGAAUAUAUAUAUAUAUAUAUAUACAUAUUAAAAUUUCAUAAAUAAAUAAAAUAAUGACAUAAUAAAAUUGAUAUAUUAUUAGUAUAAUUUAUUAGGAUAGACAAAAUUGGAGUACUACAAACUUCAAUCAUCAUUGUUGUUGUUUAUUUGUUGAUUCAUGAUUUUAUUAAGAACUAUGUUGUUGCUAAUAAUAUAUGUUGAUUUAGGUGUAAAAUGAUUAUGUGUUGUAUUGUUACUGAACAAAGAAAGAAGCAAUGCAAGGAGAUCAUGAAAUUCAGUACGUAAGGUUGAAAAUUGAACGUGGAUUAAAGAAGAAUAUCUUGCACUUGUAUCAGUAUCGAUAAUAGUACGUACCCAAACCUAGGAGUGUUCGCGGGUUGAGUUGAGGCGGUUUUGACAAAAUCUAAUAUCCGGCCUGAUCGAUUAUCUUUGGGUUGGAUAAAGUUAUAAACACGUAUUUUUUUCAUUUAACCCGAACCUGUAACACCCCGUUUUUCAAAGCGAGGGUAUAUUUUUUUUUUUCAAAAGUAAUUAAACUAAAACAGAGAAAUAGAUAAAGAAAUGCCUUUGGAUAAAUAACUGAGUUAUUAAAAUUUACAAGCAGCGGAAAUGUUUCUCCAAUUAUAAAUCCAAAACAUCUACAUAACCAUAAAUGGUACAUGGAACCCAUUCACAUAAGAAGUCGAACUGGCAAUGAUAGUAUAAAUACAGUUUUCCCAAACUAAAAAUACUCCAAUCCAAACAGAAGGACACCUAGUCCCUAUACAUCAUCCUAAUCUGAUCAUCCUACCAAAAAGCUAUACACCCUGAGUAUCUCCACGCGCUCCGUGAGAUCCUCCUAACGUGACUGCAGUCAAACGUUCCCAUCUCCAUUCCCGUCCGUAGGGUACGAACCGGUAAGACCGUCCUGACUCUCAUCUGAGGGCAAAGCCAAGAUUUCCACAAUAAUUGUAAAGGGUCACCAACCAGAAAAUAACAGUUAACACAUAGCAAUUAAGUUUUUAAAUGCUCAAAACAACUUUUCAAUUAAGCAUGCACCUUAACAGGAUUUUCCAUAUGCUAAAAGUUCAUAUAAUGCUUGCCAGAUUUUCAAAACGAAAUGUUAAGCAAACAGACAUAUUAAGAGAUUCCCCAUUCUUAAUACUGAUUUAUCUUAAUGAUUUUCAAAACGAAAUGUUAAGCAAACAGACAUAUUAAGAGAUUCCCCAUUCUUAAUACUGAUUUAUCUUAAUGAUUUUCAAAACGAAAUGUUAAGCAAACAGACAUAUUAAGAGAUUCCCCAUUCUUAAUACUGAUUUAUCUUAAUGAUUUUCAAAACGAAAUGUUAAGCAAACAGACAUAUUAAGAGAUUCCCCAUUCUUAAUACUGAUUUAUCUUAAUGAUUUUCAAAACGAAAUGUUAAGCAAACAGACAUAUUAAGAGAUUCCCCAUUCUUAAUACUGAUUUAUCUUAAUGAUUUUCAAAACGAAAUGUUAAGCAAACAGACAUAUUAAGAGAUUCCCCAUUCUUAAUACUGAUUUAUCUUAAUGAUUUUCAAAACGAAAUGUUAAGCAAACAGACAUAUUAAGAGAUUCCCCAUUCUUAAUACUGAUUUAUCUUAAUGAUUUUCAAAACGAAAUGUUAAGCAAACAGACAUAUUAAGAGAUUCCCCAUUCUUAAUACUGAUUUAUCUUAAUGAUUUUCAAAACGAAAUGUUAAGCAAACAGACAUAUUAAGAGAUUCCCCAUUCUUAAUACUGAUUUAUCUUAAUGAUUUUCAAAACGAAAUGUUAAGCAAACAGACAUAUUAAGAGAUUCCCCAUUCUUAAUACUGAUUUAUCUUAAUGAUUUUCAAAACGAAAUGUUAAGCAAACAGACAUAUUAAGAGAUUCCCCAUUCUUAAUACUGAUUUAUCUUAAUGAUUUUCAAAACGAAAUGUUAAGCAAACAGACAUAUUAAGAGAUUCCCCAUUCUUAAUACUGAUUUAUCUUAAUGAUUUUCAAAACGAAAUGUUAAGCAAACAGACAUAUUAAGAGAUUCCCCAUUCUUAAUACUGAUUUAUCUUAAUGAUUUUCAAAACGAAAUGUUAAGCAAACAGACAUAUUAAGAGAUUCCCCAUUCUUAAUACUGAUUUAUCUUAAUGAUUUUCAAAACGAAAUGUUAAGCAAACAGACAUAUUAAGAGAUUCCCCAUUCUUAAUACUGAUUUAUCUUAAUGAUUUUCAAAACGAAAUGUUAAGCAAACAGACAUAUUAAGAGAUUCCCCAUUCUUAAUACUGAUUUAUCUUAAUGAUUUUCAAAACGAAAUGUUAAGCAAACAGACAUAUUAAGAGAUUCCCCAUUCUUAAUACUGAUUUAUCUUAAUGAUUUUCAAAACGAAAUGUUAAGCAAACAGACAUAUUAAGAGAUUCCCCAUUCUUAAUACUGAUUUAUCUUAAUGAUUUUCAAAACGAAAUGUUAAGCAAACAGACAUAUUAAGAGAUUCCCCAUUCUUAAUACUGAUUUAUCUUAAUGAUUUUCAAAACGAAAUGUUAAGCAAACAGACAUAUUAAGAGAUUCCCCAUUCUUAAUACUGAUUUAUCUUAAUGAUUUUCAAAACGAAAUGUUAAGCAAACAGACAUAUUAAGAGAUUCCCCAUUCUUAAUACUGAUUUAUCUUAAUGAUUUUCAAAACGAAAUGUUAAGCAAACAGACAUAUUAAGAGAUUCCCCAUUCUUAAUACUGAUUUAUCUUAAUGAUUUUCAAAACGAAAUGUUAAGCAAACAGACAUAUUAAGAGAUUCCCCAUUCUUAAUACUGAUUUAUCUUAAUGAUUUUCAAAACGAAAUGUUAAGCAAACAGACAUAUUAAGAGAUUCCCCAUUCUUAAUACUGAUUUAUCUUAAUGAUUUUCAAAACGAAAUGUUAAGCAAACAGACAUAUUAAGAGAUUCCCCAUUCUUAAUACUGAUUUAUCUUAAUGAUUUUCAAAACGAAAUGUUAAGCAAACAGACAUAUUAAGAGAUUCCCCAUUCUUAAUACUGAUUUAUCUUAAUGAUUUUCAAAACGAAAUGUUAAGCAAACAGACAUAUUAAGAGAUUCCCCAUUCUUAAUACUGAUUUAUCUUAAUGAUUUUCAAAACGAAAUGUUAAGCAAACAGACAUAUUAAGAGAUUCCCCAUUCUUAAUACUGAUUUAUCUUAAUGAUUUUCAAAACGAAAUGUUAAGCAAACAGACAUAUUAAGAGAUUCCCCAUUCUUAAUACUGAUUUAUCUUAAUGAUUUUCAAAACGAAAUGUUAAGCAAACAGACAUAUUAAGAGAUUCCCCAUUCUUAAUACUGAUUUAUCUUAAUGAUUUUCAAAACGAAAUGUUAAGCAAACAGACAUAUUAAGAGAUUCCCCAUUCUUAAUACUGAUUUAUCUUAAUGAUUUUCAAAACGAAAUGUUAAGCAAACAGACAUAUUAAGAGAUUCCCCAUUCUUAAUACUGAUUUAUCUUAAUGAUUUUCAAAACGAAAUGUUAAGCAAACAGACAUAUUAAGAGAUUCCCCAUUCUUAAUACUGAUUUAUCUUAAUGAUUUUCAAAACGAAAUGUUAAGCAAACAGACAUAUUAAGAGAUUCCCCAUUCUUAAUACUGAUUUAUCUUAAUGAUUUUCAAAACGAAAUGUUAAGCAAACAGACAUAUUAAGAGAUUCCCCAUUCUUAAUACUGAUUUAUCUUAAUGAUUUUCAAAACGAAAUGUUAAGCAAACAGACAUAUUAAGAGAUUCCCCAUUCUUAAUACUGAUUUAUCUUAAUGAUUUUCAAAACGAAAUGUUAAGCAAACAGACAUAUUAAGAGAUUCCCCAUUCUUAAUACUGAUUUAUCUUAAUGAUUUUCAAAACGAAAUGUUAAGCAAACAGACAUAUUAAGAGAUUCCCCAUUCUUAAUACUGAUUUAUCUUAAUGAUUUUCAAAACGAAAUGUUAAGCAAACAGACAUAUUAAGAGAUUCCCCAUUCUUAAUACUGAUUUAUCUUAAUGAUUUUCAAAACGAAAUGUUAAGCAAACAGACAUAUUAAGAGAUUCCCCAUUCUUAAUACUGAUUUAUCUUAAUGAUUUUCAAAACGAAAUGUUAAGCAAACAGACAUAUUAAGAGAUUCCCCAUUCUUAAUACUGAUUUAUCUUAAUGAUUUUCAAAACGAAAUGUUAAGCAAACAGACAUAUUAAGAGAUUCCCCAUUCUUAAUACUGAUUUAUCUUAAUGAUUUUCAAAACGAAAUGUUAAGCAAACAGACAUAUUAAGAGAUUCCCCAUUCUUAAUACUGAUUUAUCUUAAUGAUUUUCAAAACGAAAUGUUAAGCAAACAGACAUAUUAAGAGAUUCCCCAUUCUUAAUACUGAUUUAUCUUAAUGAUUUUCAAAACGAAAUGUUAAGCAAACAGACAUAUUAAGAGAUUCCCCAUUCUUAAUACUGAUUUAUCUUAAUGAUUUUCAAAACGAAAUGUUAAGCAAACAGACAUAUUAAGAGAUUCCCCAUUCUUAAUACUGAUUUAUCUUAAUGAUUUUCAAAACGAAAUGUUAAGCAAACAGACAUAUUAAGAGAUUCCCCAUUCUUAAUACUGAUUUAUCUUAAUGAUUUUCAAAACGAAAUGUUAAGCAAACAGACAUAUUAAGAGAUUCCCCAUUCUUAAUACUGAUUUAUCUUAAUGAUUUUCAAAACGAAAUGUUAAGCAAACAGACAUAUUAAGAGAUUCCCCAUUCUUAAUACUGAUUUAUCUUAAUGAUUUUCAAAACGAAAUGUUAAGCAAACAGACAUAUUAAGAGAUUCCCCAUUCUUAAUACUGAUUUAUCUUAAUGAUUUUCAAAACGAAAUGUUAAGCAAACAGACAUAUUAAGAGAUUCCCCAUUCUUAAUACUGAUUUAUCUUAAUGAUUUUCAAAACGAAAUGUUAAGCAAACAGACAUAUUAAGAGAUUCCCCAUUCUUAAUACUGAUUUAUCUUAAUGAUUUUCAAAACGAAAUGUUAAGCAAACAGACAUAUUAAGAGAUUCCCCAUUCUUAAUACUGAUUUAUCUUAAUGAUUUUCAAAACGAAAUGUUAAGCAAACAGACAUAUUAAGAGAUUCCCCAUUCUUAAUACUGAUUUAUCUUAAUGAUUUUCAAAACGAAAUGUUAAGCAAACAGACAUAUUAAGAGAUUCCCCAUUCUUAAUACUGAUUUAUCUUAAUGAUUUUCAAAACGAAAUGUUAAGCAAACAGACAUAUUAAGAGAUUCCCCAUUCUUAAUACUGAUUUAUCUUAAUGAUUUUCAAAACGAAAUGUUAAGCAAACAGACAUAUUAAGAGAUUCCCCAUUCUUAAUACUGAUUUAUCUUAAUGAUUUUCAAAACGAAAUGUUAAGCAAACAGACAUAUUAAGAGAUUCCCCAUUCUUAAUACUGAUUUAUCUUAAUGAUUUUCAAAACGAAAUGUUAAGCAAACAGACAUAUUAAGAGAUUCCCCAUUCUUAAUACUGAUUUAUCUUAAUGAUUUUCAAAACGAAAUGUUAAGCAAACAGACAUAUUAAGAGAUUCCCCAUUCUUAAUACUGAUUUAUCUUAAUGAUUUUCAAAACGAAAUGUUAAGCAAACAGACAUAUUAAGAGAUUCCCCAUUCUUAAUACUGAUUUAUCUUAAUGAUUUUCAAAACGAAAUGUUAAGCAAACAGACAUAUUAAGAGAUUCCCCAUUCUUAAUACUGAUUUAUCUUAAUGAUUUUCAAAACGAAAUGUUAAGCAAACAGACAUAUUAAGAGAUUCCCCAUUCUUAAUACUGAUUUAUCUUAAUGAUUUUCAAAACGAAAUGUUAAGCAAACAGACAUAUUAAGAGAUUCCCCAUUCUUAAUACUGAUUUAUCUUAAUGAUUUUCAAAACGAAAUGUUAAGCAAACAGACAUAUUAAGAGAUUCCCCAUUCUUAAUACUGAUUUAUCUUAAUGAUUUUCAAAACGAAAUGUUAAGCAAACAGACAUAUUAAGAGAUUCCCCAUUCUUAAUACUGAUUUAUCUUAAUGAUUUUCAAAACGAAAUGUUAAGCAAACAGACAUAUUAAGAGAUUCCCCAUUCUUAAUACUGAUUUAUCUUAAUGAUUUUCAAAACGAAAUGUUAAGCAAACAGACAUAUUAAGAGAUUCCCCAUUCUUAAUACUGAUUUAUCUUAAUGAUUUUCAAAACGAAAUGUUAAGCAAACAGACAUAUUAAGAGAUUCCCCAUUCUUAAUACUGAUUUAUCUUAAUGAUUUUCAAAACGAAAUGUUAAGCAAACAGACAUAUUAAGAGAUUCCCCAUUCUUAAUACUGAUUUAUCUUAAUGAUUUUCAAAACGAAAUGUUAAGCAAACAGACAUAUUAAGAGAUUCCCCAUUCUUAAUACUGAUUUAUCUUAAUGAUUUUCAAAACGAAAUGUUAAGCAAACAGACAUAUUAAGAGAUUCCCCAUUCUUAAUACUGAUUUAUCUUAAUGAUUUUCAAAACGAAAUGUUAAGCAAACAGACAUAUUAAGAGAUUCCCCAUUCUUAAUACUGAUUUAUCUUAAUGAUUUUCAAAACGAAAUGUUAAGCAAACAGACAUAUUAAGAGAUUCCCCAUUCUUAAUACUGAUUUAUCUUAAUGAUUUUCAAAACGAAAUGUUAAGCAAACAGACAUAUUAAGAGAUUCCCCAUUCUUAAUACUGAUUUAUCUUAAUGAUUUUCAAAACGAAAUGUUAAGCAAACAGACAUAUUAAGAGAUUCCCCAUUCUUAAUACUGAUUUAUCUUAAUGAUUUUCAAAACGAAAUGUUAAGCAAACAGACAUAUUAAGAGAUUCCCCAUUCUUAAUACUGAUUUAUCUUAAUGAUUUUCAAAACGAAAUGUUAAGCAAACAGACAUAUUAAGAGAUUCCCCAUUCUUAAUACUGAUUUAUCUUAAUGAUUUUCAAAACGAAAUGUUAAGCAAACAGACAUAUUAAGAGAUUCCCCAUUCUUAAUACUGAUUUAUCUUAAUGAUUUUCAAAACGAAAUGUUAAGCAAACAGACAUAUUAAGAGAUUCCCCAUUCUUAAUACUGAUUUAUCUUAAUGAUUUUCAAAACGAAAUGUUAAGCAAACAGACAUAUUAAGAGAUUCCCCAUUCUUAAUACUGAUUUAUCUUAAUGAUUUUCAAAACGAAAUGUUAAGCAAACAGACAUAUUAAGAGAUUCCCCAUUCUUAAUACUGAUUUAUCUUAAUGAUUUUCAAAACGAAAUGUUAAGCAAACAGACAUAUUAAGAGAUUCCCCAUUCUUAAUACUGAUUUAUCUUAAUGAUUUUCAAAACGAAAUGUUAAGCAAACAGACAUAUUAAGAGAUUCCCCAUUCUUAAUACUGAUUUAUCUUAAUGAUUUUCAAAACGAAAUGUUAAGCAAACAGACAUAUUAAGAGAUUCCCCAUUCUUAAUACUGAUUUAUCUUAAUGAUUUUCAAAACGAAAUGUUAAGCAAACAGACAUAUUAAGAGAUUCCCCAUUCUUAAUACUGAUUUAUCUUAAUGAUUUUCAAAACGAAAUGUUAAGCAAACAGACAUAUUAAGAGAUUCCCCAUUCUUAAUACUGAUUUAUCUUAAUGAUUUUCAAAACGAAAUGUUAAGCAAACAGACAUAUUAAGAGAUUCCCCAUUCUUAAUACUGAUUUAUCUUAAUGAUUUUCAAAACGAAAUGUUAAGCAAACAGACAUAUUAAGAGAUUCCCCAUUCUUAAUACUGAUUUAUCUUAAUGAUUUUCAAAACGAAAUGUUAAGCAAACAGACAUAUUAAGAGAUUCCCCAUUCUUAAUACUGAUUUAUCUUAAUGAUUUUCAAAACGAAAUGUUAAGCAAACAGACAUAUUAAGAGAUUCCCCAUUCUUAAUACUGAUUUAUCUUAAUGAUUUUCAAAACGAAAUGUUAAGCAAACAGACAUAUUAAGAGAUUCCCCAUUCUUAAUACUGAUUUAUCUUAAUGAUUUUCAAAACGAAAUGUUAAGCAAACAGACAUAUUAAGAGAUUCCCCAUUCUUAAUACUGAUUUAUCUUAAUGAUUUUCAAAACGAAAUGUUAAGCAAACAGACAUAUUAAGAGAUUCCCCAUUCUUAAUACUGAUUUAUCUUAAUGAUUUUCAAAACGAAAUGUUAAGCAAACAGACAUAUUAAGAGAUUCCCCAUUCUUAAUACUGAUUUAUCUUAAUGAUUUUCAAAACGAAAUGUUAAGCAAACAGACAUAUUAAGAGAUUCCCCAUUCUUAAUACUGAUUUAUCUUAAUGAUUUUCAAAACGAAAUGUUAAGCAAACAGACAUAUUAAGAGAUUCCCCAUUCUUAAUACUGAUUUAUCUUAAUGAUUUUCAAAACGAAAUGUUAAGCAAACAGACAUAUUAAGAGAUUCCCCAUUCUUAAUACUGAUUUAUCUUAAUGAUUUUCAAAACGAAAUGUUAAGCAAACAGACAUAUUAAGAGAUUCCCCAUUCUUAAUACUGAUUUAUCUUAAUGAUUUUCAAAACGAAAUGUUAAGCAAACAGACAUAUUAAGAGAUUCCCCAUUCUUAAUACUGAUUUAUCUUAAUGAUUUUCAAAACGAAAUGUUAAGCAAACAGACAUAUUAAGAGAUUCCCCAUUCUUAAUACUGAUUUAUCUUAAUGAUUUUCAAAACGAAAUGUUAAGCAAACAGACAUAUUAAGAGAUUCCCCAUUCUUAAUACUGAUUUAUCUUAAUGAUUUUCAAAACGAAAUGUUAAGCAAACAGACAUAUUAAGAGAUUCCCCAUUCUUAAUACUGAUUUAUCUUAAUGAUUUUCAAAACGAAAUGUUAAGCAAACAGACAUAUUAAGAGAUUCCCCAUUCUUAAUACUGAUUUAUCUUAAUGAUUUUCAAAACGAAAUGUUAAGCAAACAGACAUAUUAAGAGAUUCCCCAUUCUUAAUACUGAUUUAUCUUAAUGAUUUUCAAAACGAAAUGUUAAGCAAACAGACAUAUUAAGAGAUUCCCCAUUCUUAAUACUGAUUUAUCUUAAUGAUUUUCAAAACGAAAUGUUAAGCAAACAGACAUAUUAAGAGAUUCCCCAUUCUUAAUACUGAUUUAUCUUAAUGAUUUUCAAAACGAAAUGUUAAGCAAACAGACAUAUUAAGAGAUUCCCCAUUCUUAAUACUGAUUUAUCUUAAUGAUUUUCAAAACGAAAUGUUAAGCAAACAGACAUAUUAAGAGAUUCCCCAUUCUUAAUACUGAUUUAUCUUAAUGAUUUUCAAAACGAAAUGUUAAGCAAACAGACAUAUUAAGAGAUUCCCCAUUCUUAAUACUGAUUUAUCUUAAUGAUUUUCAAAACGAAAUGUUAAGCAAACAGACAUAUUAAGAGAUUCCCCAUUCUUAAUACUGAUUUAUCUUAAUGAUUUUCAAAACGAAAUGUUAAGCAAACAGACAUAUUAAGAGAUUCCCCAUUCUUAAUACUGAUUUAUCUUAAUGAUUUUCAAAACGAAAUGUUAAGCAAACAGACAUAUUAAGAGAUUCCCCAUUCUUAAUACUGAUUUAUCUUAAUGAUUUUCAAAACGAAAUGUUAAGCAAACAGACAUAUUAAGAGAUUCCCCAUUCUUAAUACUGAUUUAUCUUAAUGAUUUUCAAAACGAAAUGUUAAGCAAACAGACAUAUUAAGAGAUUCCCCAUUCUUAAUACUGAUUUAUCUUAAUGAUUUUCAAAACGAAAUGUUAAGCAAACAGACAUAUUAAGAGAUUCCCCAUUCUUAAUACUGAUUUAUCUUAAUGAUUUUCAAAACGAAAUGUUAAGCAAACAGACAUAUUAAGAGAUUCCCCAUUCUUAAUACUGAUUUAUCUUAAUGAUUUUCAAAACGAAAUGUUAAGCAAACAGACAUAUUAAGAGAUUCCCCAUUCUUAAUACUGAUUUAUCUUAAUGAUUUUCAAAACGAAAUGUUAAGCAAACAGACAUAUUAAGAGAUUCCCCAUUCUUAAUACUGAUUUAUCUUAAUGAUUUUCAAAACGAAAUGUUAAGCAAACAGACAUAUUAAGAGAUUCCCCAUUCUUAAUACUGAUUUAUCUUAAUGAUUUUCAAAACGAAAUGUUAAGCAAACAGACAUAUUAAGAGAUUCCCCAUUCUUAAUACUGAUUUAUCUUAAUGAUUUUCAAAACGAAAUGUUAAGCAAACAGACAUAUUAAGAGAUUCCCCAUUCUUAAUACUGAUUUAUCUUAAUGAUUUUCAAAACGAAAUGUUAAGCAAACAGACAUAUUAAGAGAUUCCCCAUUCUUAAUACUGAUUUAUCUUAAUGAUUUUCAAAACGAAAUGUUAAGCAAACAGACAUAUUAAGAGAUUCCCCAUUCUUAAUACUGAUUUAUCUUAAUGAUUUUCAAAACGAAAUGUUAAGCAAACAGACAUAUUAAGAGAUUCCCCAUUCUUAAUACUGAUUUAUCUUAAUGAUUUUCAAAACAAAACGUUAAGCAAACAGUCAUAUUAAGAGAUUCCCCAUUCUUAAUACUGAUUUAUCUUAAUGAUUUUCAAAACAAAACGUUAAGCAAACAGUCAUAUUAAGAGAUUCCCCAUUCUUAAUACUGAUUUAUCUUAAUGAUUUUCAAAACAAAACGUUAAGCAACAGUCAUAUUAAGAGAUUCCCCAUUCUUAAUAUACUUUUGACUUAAACGAUUUUCACACAAAAUAUUCAGUAAACGAGUCAUUAAGAGAUUCCCCAUUCUUAACACUCAUUUACCGGAACGAUUUUCAAAAACGAUCGUUAAGUAACCGGGACAUUAAGAGAUUCCCCAUUCUCAACGCCCAGUUAACUUAAACCUUUUCCUCAAAUGCACAUUAAGUAAACCGAGGUAUUAAAAGAUUCCCCAUUUUUAAUACUCGUUUAACUCUAAUGGUUUUCAAAUUCCACGGAAACAAACUCAAACAUACUCUCACAUUCAAACCAUAAUUCACAACAACCACACCAAUUAACAAACAUCAAGUAUGGACACGCCAAAUACAACGAACACCAAUCAAAGCAAACAUAACACCCAGAUACAUCAAAUUUCAUUUACUCAUAAUCGUACACGAUGACUUCAAAUUCAUUUACCACGAAACAUUCAUCAUUAUAAACAAAACCUAACUCUAAGGUUUUACCCAUAACGCACUAGUUUCGUUUUUCCCCAAAUCGAUACAUUUAACCCUAACAAAUUCCUUCCCACACAACCACAGAUAAGUCCCUAAUGCAAACUAGAAGUUUGGAAGGAGCCCUUACCUCAACGUUAGCUUUAACGUGCGUUUUCGGUACCGCGAGUAAUUCCGGUAAAAUCUUCGCUCGCAACGCCGCUUCCAAAAUAGUUCACUAGCACCGUAGUGUGUUGGUGAGCAACUUUCCCUUCUAUCUCUUCGAGAAAUGAGGUUUGGAUCUAGAAGAAACGGAGGGGUUUGUGUUUGGAUCUCAAAUACCGUUUUUCUUCGUUUUCGAAUCAAAGAGGAAGAGUGGAGUUGCGAAAUCCUUGUUCUAACUCUCACCCAAUCUUGGGUUACUAGUUUUGAAGAAAAGAAAGCGACGAAAAUGAAAAUGGAAGAAAAGAGAGAAAUUUGGCCGCGGGAGAGGAAGAAGACGAUGGAUUUUCAAUUUUCCUUCCUUUCUUUUUCUUUCCUUUCUUUUUCCUUUCUUCCUUUUUCCUUCCUUCCUUUUAUACUAUUUUCUUUUCCUUUUCCUUCCUUCUAGUUUUCCUUUCUUUUUUCCUCCACCCAAACAUAUAUAGAUAUAAUAAAUAUAACUUAACAAAUAUCUCAAAAUCUAGAUAUUUGUUAAAUUACCGUUUCACCCGAAACGCAUUAAAUUCUCCGUAAAGGAUUCAACGCAGUUAAAUUCAAUUUAUUUAUCGACGAGAAAUUUUAAUUGGCAUCAAAAUAUCUUUUUGAUUAUAAAACUCCAAAAUAUUAUUAACUUUGGCUUAAAAGCCUCCGAGCCAAAAUCCAAAAUACACCAAAAAUACAUAAAUGGUACUUUAAAAUUACGGGUCUUACAGAACCGAACCGACCCGAUCAAUAACGGGUUGAGUUAGCGAGUUAUACAUAAAUAAUAACUUUUUUUUUUUAUUUUACGGAAAAAUUUAUUGAAUGAAAAUAUAUUUAAUACUUCAAUGUCUCAAAAAUUAUAAGAUUUCAAUAACACCAUUCAAUUCUUUAAAAAAGCUAACAACCUUUAACAAAAAAAAAAAAAAAUCCAAUAAUCUUCAAAUACAUAAAUUCAUCAAUACAGUUCAAGGCCAAGCACUUCACAAGUUUCUCAAAUUAUGAGAAAUAAUAGAAAAUCUGCAAAAAUAAAUAUCAAUAAUAAAAAUGAGGAGAUAAAGAAGGAGAAAUAAUAAUAAUAAUAAUAAUAAUAAUAAUAAUAAUAAUAAUAAUAAUAAUAAUAAUAAUAAUAAUAAUAAUAAUAAAGUAAAAUAUGCAUGAAACAAAGCAAUAACAAAUACCUUAAGAUGUAGUAGUGAUUAUGUUAAGCUCAGCAGCAGUCACCUCAACAUCAAUUGAAACUAAUUUAGACAACUCUAAAAUUUUAAAUACAAUACACAAUCUCAUUAGCACACCAAACACUUAAAAGAAUAAACAAAAAUAAAGGAAAAUCAUUUUGAAAGGUAAAAUACAAUAUUCGUACCCAACUCAAUCUUUUAUACUUCAACCAACUCAGUUGCUAAAUCAAUUUUCUUAGGAGAUUUUAUUCAAUUUUGGGUACAAAUCAAAGCUUAAACAAUAGUGACAUUUAAUGAACCACAAAAUGAAUCGAGGAUUAGACCACCUGUACUAAACAUCGACUCAUAUGAUACAGUAGACAUUGGAAUAGCGAAAUUCGUCGUACGUAAGCUUUUACAUAAGAAUUAUUUUUUCUCAUAAAUAUUAUUUAAUUCAAAAAACUUGUAUUUAACAAAUGUAAAAAAUUUAAACUAAAUUUAUCAUAAGCAUAAACUUUCAGUUCAUACCUUCAUUAUGCAAAUCUAUAACAAAAUAUAACAUUUAAAUAAAUAGGCUAAAUUAUAUCUGUGGUCCCUUAACUUAAUUUCAGGUAACGUUUUAGUCCUUUAUCUUUUUUUUUUCCGACUUGGUCCUUUAUUUUAAUUUUAAGUGACAAUUUGAUAUUUUAUGUUUUAAAAUUUCAAUAAUGUUAUCCUUUUUUAUACAAAAAUUCAAAAAAAGAUUUAAUCAAAACUCAUAAAAUUAAUUAUAUUCUUCAAUAUAAUACAAAUUUCAUCAAAUUCGUAACGCAAAUCUUCAAAUAAACUUAUAUUUUCAUACUUUAUUUGAUAUUGUUAGGAAUAAAGGACUACAUCGGGAAAAAAAAAAGAUAAAGGACUAAAACGUUACCUGAAAUUAAGUUAAGGGACCACAGAUGUAAUUUAGCCAAAUAAAUAUCAGUUAUGAGAACCUACAUAACAAAAGAACAACGUGGUGGCAACGCGACUGGUAGAACAAAAGAAGAAGGUGGGCAGCAGUUCUGAGUUUUGCAUUGUUACUUUGUUUUAAUGCAGUGUUGAAUUUUGGUGAGAAAUCAACAUGACCUAUGUGGAGUAUUUCAGCCAUAUCUGGAGUUGUAGAUGUCCUUUUGGAGUUAAACCAAAUGCAAAUGAAAGCUACGAUCCAUAGCUAAAACUUUCAUGAAGACCCCAAAACCAAAUUCGGACUCAAAAGAGGAGAACAAUGCACUACACUCCAGAUAUAAGAUGAUAUGCGCUCAAAGCGCGCCAGAAGCCCAUUUCGCGCUGAAGCCACUGGCAAUCCGCGCCUGAAGCACGUGACGGGUAGCAAAACACAUUAAAACUCACUUUUCUCACUUUUUAGGUAUCAUUUUAACUAUUGGGAAGUUGGGAGACUUGUACCCUAGCAUCGAAACUCAAAGACGAUCGUUUCUAACACCAUUGGAGCAGUUUUAUCAAGAAUCGUUCAUGAAUCUUUCUUGUAAUUCUUCUCUAAUCUCUACCUUUUCUAUCUCUAUCAUGAGUAACUAAACCCUAUUUAUUAGGGAUGAGUAUAACAAGAUGAAACUCUUAUUUUUCUGAUUUGAUUUCUAGUUAUAUGAAUGAGUUUUUUGAAUUAUUUUUCUCAUCUUUGUGCUUAAUGCUUUUUAUUGUUUGAUCAACAUUAAAAUGUUCUACGAUUCGUAUUUUGAAACGUAAGUGGACUUUAUGAAUGCUUGAAAUGAGGAAUUCAUGAAUUUGUAGUCUAGGGAUAGAUGCAGGUCAUGAAACCAAUUAAAUUAGUUGCAUAGACAAUAGUUUAAAAAGAUAAUUAUUGUACGGUAAUGCUUAAUUCUAAUCUUAAAUCCAUUAAGCAAUAUGGGGUUACUUUGGAAUUAAAGGUUUUGUCACUAAGACAUUAGUGCAAGAAUAAUAAAGAGAAUUCGAUAAUAAUUCAACAAAAGAAUUCAGUAACUAGGAUCAAAUUAGACACCAAGGUUGGAUUCAAAGUGAAACUCAUCCUUGCCAUUUUUCUUAUUAUAAAGGAUCAAUUUUAUUACUAUUGUUAAUUUUAAAUAUUAUUACAAUCAAUUUGGGAACUUUUUGUUCAAUUUUAGUAAUUAAAUAUAAUUCGAUAGUAAAACGCAAUCCUUGAGUUGACACUUGGUAUUACCGUUUUAAUUAUUACUUGCAACGAUUCAGUACACUUGCUGAAACGCUAUCAAGUUUUUGGCGCCGUUUCCAAGGAUUACCGUAUCACUAUUGAAUUUAAUUUAUUUACUUAAUUGAAAUUUUUUGCUCUGUAGUAAAAUUUUUGCUUUUAUUUUAAUUUUAAUUUUUACUUUUAUUUUAUUAUAAUGAUGAUAUUCUACUGCAAUUAUAUGAAGAGUGUGAUACUUAUCUUAUAUCUAGUAUAUGUCGCAUGAUUGAAGGGAAAAUCUUGAGAGAUACAUUUUUAAAAUAUCACCCUCAGAUCUCUCAGAUGCAGCCUUUUAGGUGUGAAUUUUGCGAAGAAGAAGAAGAAGAAGAAGAAGAAGAAGAAGAACGAUUACUCCUUGGUUGUCGAAGUCUCACUUGCCAUUUUUUUAUAAAAAAAACUAAAUAAAUUUUGUUCUUACAUGUUUGAUAUCAUUUAGAUAGUUCAUACUCUUUCUUAUUAUCCUAGUUGUGAGCUUUUGAGACUAAAAACUUUAAUUCUUUUUUGUUUGAUUAUCCAGACAUGUGUUAUCCCUUCAUAACUUGCACUAAUUAUGACUUGCAUCACUUGUAAUUUAU
Molecule: long non-coding RNA, 16384 nt
Filed under: Cicer arietinum (chickpea)
Lineage: Eukaryota; Viridiplantae; Streptophyta; Magnoliopsida; Fabales; Fabaceae
Description: long non-coding RNA (CARI_LNC002061)
Source: RNAcentral